CAGGGCCUGGCCUCCUCCCUGGCUUCUCACAAGGCAUUUGAUCCCCACAGGGCUCAAGGGAGGGAUCUAUGCUCAGCCUGCAAGUAGUGACAGUUUCCAGAGCUCUGAUUCAUCUGAUUCAUCUCUCAUGGCUUGUAAAGCAUGAGACAGCUGCCUUGGGGUGACUGAGCCACACCCGACUUCUCCAGCCCAGGCCCUGUGACCUCAAGAACACCCAAAUCCCCUCCCUGCAAAGGCUUCCCAGUGUG
Long non-coding RNA from Octodon degus (degu), 248 nucleotides. RefSeq lists it as uncharacterized. The record is from RefSeq and is a predicted model, not a curated record. NCBI's taxonomy places the organism in Eukaryota, Metazoa, Chordata, Mammalia, Rodentia, Octodontidae. The transcript is spliced from 3 exons.